Molecule: non-coding RNA, 73 nt
Organism: Parelaphostrongylus tenuis
Lineage: Eukaryota; Metazoa; Nematoda; Chromadorea; Rhabditida; Metastrongylidae
Source: the annotation of a GenBank genome assembly
GCCUCGGUGGUGUAGUGGUAGAGCACGCGUUCCUGAGUAGGAUGAAACGCGGGUUCGACUCCCGCCUGAGGCC